GAUGAACGCUGGCGGCGUGCCUAAUACAUGCAAGUCGAGCGAACAGACGAGGAGCUUGCUCCUCUGACGUUAGCGGCGGACGGGUGAGUAACACGUGGAUAACCUACCUAUAAGACUGGGAUAACUUCGGGAAACCGGAGCUAAUACCGGAUAAUAUAUUGAACCGCAUGGUUCAAUAGUGAAAGACGGUUUUGCUGUCACUUAUAGAUGGAUCCGCGCCGCAUUAGCUAGUUGGUAAGGUAACGGCUUACCAAGGCAACGAUGCGUAGCCGACCUGAGAGGGUGAUCGGCCACCCUGGAACUGAGACACGGUCCAGACUCCUACGGGAGGCAGCAGUAGGGAAUCUUACGCAAUGGGCGAAAGCCUGACGGAGCAACGCCGCGUGAGUGAUGAAGGUCUUCGGAUCGUAAAACUCUGUUAUUAGGGAAGAACAAAUGUGUAAGUACCUAUGCACGUCUUGACGGUACCUAAUCAGAAAGCCACGGCUAACUACGUG
RNAcentral lists this ribosomal RNA (497 nucleotides) under uncultured bacterium. Its description in RNAcentral is "partial 16S ribosomal RNA". It matches the Rfam family "Bacterial small subunit ribosomal RNA", at positions 28 to 507 of the family's 1533-position model. The record is from RNAcentral.